RNAcentral lists this long non-coding RNA (8278 nucleotides) under Homo sapiens (human). RNAcentral's name for it is "HSALNT0352964". The record is from RNAcentral. Lineage: Eukaryota; Metazoa; Chordata; Mammalia; Primates; Hominidae.
GUAGUAAUUUCACAAAGAUCCUAAAUUGAAAUCCGCUGGAAUAAUAGGACACACAGGAGUAGCCGCUGUUCUCUAUUACGUACAGCAUGGCUGUAUCUGUGACCUGUGGUUGUGCAUAUUGUAGGUUUAUUUUUCACACUGCCAGUUAAGAUUUCCCAGAGUUUGACACAAAAUCUACAAUCACUGAGCCUCUACUGAUAUAUUUGUAUUGUCCGGAAGGCUGUCGAGUUCUUAGUCAAGAGAAUGGCUUCCAUGGUUUUCUUUCAUAGUGAAUGGUUUUGGAAAUAAAAUUUUAUGCUCAUACUUACUGAGGUCAGAAUCCUGAAAUUUCGUCCAGUGGUAUAAAUAAUAAUAAUAUGUCACAAGGUAUAUUAACCAUUUGCCUUGUACUAGGCCCUGUUACUACUAUUUAUAUACAUCAUUUCAUGUAGCCCUGUAACAUCCCUUUGAGAUAACUACUCUUAUAUCCUUAUUUUCAGAUGAGGAACUAAGAAGUUAAAAAUAUGCCCAAAGAGCCACAUAGUAGCAUUAACUCCAGCUCAGAGCUGACUCUUGACAGCUGCCAACAAAUUCUCUUUGUUCUUCUGGGUGGAAGACCAUGAAACAGGAAAAUAUUAAUAACAUGUAGUGUACUGCUUUCUAAAAUUUUCUUCCCGUUAUCAUAGUUUGGUUGGUAACAAUUCUUACCCACUUUUAUCUGUCUCUUUUCCUUUUCUAAAAUACUAUCCAUUUUUAUAGAAAGAGACAAAGGAAAAAUGUAUGUUCUUUUCUCCAUCUGGACGUUCUUGAAGGUUUAUGCUGAGAGAACCAUUAUUCUGUAGUGUGCCUUACCACUGACAGCCUGGGUGUAUAUUCUUCAGCCUAUUUUGUUUGUUUCUCCGCUGGAAAAAUGAAGAUGAAAUCACUGUGCCUUGCUAUCAAAGUAGGGAUGAAGGAGUAAUGUCCUUCAUAAUUACAGACAGUAUAAUUAUAAAUAAUAGGCCAUGGAUAUAACUGUAAAUAUGAAAAUGUGAGGUUUCCUCAUGAGAUACUGAGUGAUCUCAGCAGCCUGCAAAAGGUGAUAUGUGUCAAAGGACAUAAAACAGUAGGAGGAGAAAGAGCACUGAGCGAUCACGUAGUCCCAAAGUUAGCAGGGAUGCUUUCGGGGAGGCAUACCUGGAAAGAGGAUGUAAAUUCACCUUGCUGUGAAGGACUGGAGGAGCCAACCUUUUCAAUCCUGUGGCUAGUGGAGGGUCUUGAGUGUGCCUUUGGGGCAUGAAAGCCAGGAGGAAGCACACCCUGUUUAGCAGAUGUGUGGCUUCAGGGCCUUGGCAGGCAGAACAGGUUGAUUAUGCAUUGCCAUGGUUAUUCUGCCACUGAACAGUUAUACUCCAGCACCCUUCUUCAUUGCUCUGCCAAAGCACUUAUGCCUUGGAGCUCUGAGUCCAGGCACAGAAGGGACUGUCCUAAGUGAGUGAAGUGGUCAGGACGUCACUGCAGGCACUGAGAAUUUAUUAAAAUGAGGAUGAGGCAGAAUGGAGAGUUUUAUUCUCUGUAUUUGUGAGAGCUUUCUUCCGAUGCAAGAAGGAAACCCCAUCUAGUUUCAUGAAAACAUGAGCCUUGCCUAACCGACUUGGCUGCAGGCAAACCAACCCUGCCCCUGUGUUUUGAAAUUUGGGCUCUUUCCUCUUUCAUGUUCUUUUUCAUCAAGUGUGAACUCCUGAUUCUAUGUCAGCAGUUGAUCCCCAUUACAAAUAAUCUUCAGCAGAAUCUUGUUUUCCAUAUCCUAUUGACUUUGGCACCUGCUCUGUUUACUUAAGCACUCAAUUGAUAAGAACUGGAAUCUUUGCUGAUUUUUACCUAAAGCUAGAAAAGAAAACCUUUCAAGCCAGCAAAAAUAACCUUCCUCUGAAAAAAUACAUCAAAGGAGUGGUGCCAGCUCAGUUGGUAUUAGGUUGUGCAUUGCAUGGGUUGGAAACGAUGGACUGUAAAGAAAAGGGGUCUUUGCAGCAGGCAGAAGUAAAGCAACAACAAUUAAAGUAAACAGAGCAAACUUUCCAUGACAUGCUGCUACCAGCAUUUGUAAUAACCCCCAGGAUAGGACCCUACUGGAAGACGGGUUAGCUAGUGGGAAACUGACAGGAGGGAUCAGGAGUGGGGAGGCAGGACACAGUUACUAGAGCAGAGAUACGUAAUAAAGGCUUGGAGAUAGAAACAAAAGCAAAACAUUUAGAAUGGUUAAGACUCACUUGAUGUCACUUACCUGUCCCAGUGAUUGGGUUCUUUUCAGUGCCCUCUGUGAAGACAAGAAUGACAUCAGAGCAUACGUCCAGCUCUACUUUCUCAGGAGCCACAGAUUUUGGCUCUUCAUGCAGAAAUACUCAGAAUAUGCAGAUAAUGACACAUAUCAGAAACCUUAUCACUGAACAUUUUAAAUUCCAUGGUGGGGGAAGGAGGCAUGUCCUACACAAUAGGCAUCCUGUUUUGGGGGAGGUUUAUCACAAAAACUUUUUAUUGAUCACUGAGGGGAAAAAAUGGGGUUUUCAUCUGAAACCUUGGGUGUCUCAGUCUUUUUCUUUCCGAUUUUGUGUAAGCUAGACAAUUAUGUUGGAUUUACUUUCUCCAUCUUCAGUGGAAGAAAUGACCUUGUUGAGUAAAACAAGUAUGUUAAGUGUCAAUUCAUAAACACAGGUUUGUAUGGAAAGAGAGGAUAUGAAAUUAGACACACCUGUGAAGAUCUGGGGAUGGGUGACAUCUUUUUUUUCCAGUAAACAUUUAUUGAUCCUUUAUGAGGUACCAAGCACUUUAGUAAGAGCUGGGAAGAGGAGAAAAGAGCAAUGGUGGUCCUUGUUCCCCAGGAGCUCUAAGACCCUGUGUGAGACAGAUGUGGGGGUGGGGAUGUGCCAUGGUGGUGAGCAGGCAGGAGUGAUGGUGCCUGGGAAGAGGCAGGCGAGGGUCACGAGAGCCUGCAGAGAAAAGGAGGCAUUUGAGUCGGUCAUGAAGGACACCAGCAGUUUUUACAGGUGGACAAAAGACAUGUAAGGCAAAGAGAACCUCAAAGAGAGAAAGUGUGGACAUCUGGAUGGGGUUGUCCAGGAUUUCUGGCAGAGCUGACUUGGUGAGUGAGGGCAUUAUUGACUCUGACAGAUAAAUGAGAAGAAAACCAGCUUCUGAGGGGUAGUGGAAGCAGAUAGGGGCAUGCGGGGCAUGUUGAGAUGUGUUGGGACAUGCUGCGAUUGAAGGGGCCUGCGGCCAUCAGGUGAAGUGUGUAGCCGACAUUUGGAAGUACUGGCCUAGAGCUUAGGUGAAAGCCUGGCUGAAUAGGUAAGGUGCCACUGGUGUCAUAGAAUGAGGAGAAAGUAGUAUCAGAAAAUCACAGAAGAACGUAGUUUUAGACAGAGUGGUCAGUACAGCAUUAUCAAAUACUGUCAAGGGCUGGGCAAGGUGACUCAUGCCUGUAAUCCCAGCACUUUGGGAGGCCAGGAGUUUGAGACCAACCUGGGCAACAUGAUGAGACUCCAUCUCUACAGAAAAUUUAAAAAUUAGCCAGGCAUGGUGGCGCACCUGUAGUCCCCAGCCACUCAGGAGGCUGAGGUGAGAGGAUCGCUUGAGCCUAGGAGGUUGAGGUUGCAGUGAGCCAUGAUUGUGCCACUGCUCUCCAGCCUGGGCAUCAGAGAAGGCAAGUAAGAGAAGAGCUGAAAGGGGCCCCUUGGAUUCGAUCAUCUCCUGCCAGCUCUUGCUUUGUGGAACUGUGGUGGAGGUGGAAAACAGAUUACAACAGGAUGGGGGAAGCAGGGUAGGAAGCAGGUUGAAAAGCCAGUACGGAUGACCAGAUGACCAUUUUCCUUCAGUUUAGCUGGGAGAGGAUUCAGAAAGCACUGGCCGGUAAGGUACCCAUGGGGUCAGGUUUAAAUCAUCAUUCUAGUUGUAGACCCCACAUGGCUCCACAUUGAACUCCUGACCCCACUCCAGUAUCAAGGCUUUGUCUCGAUAUUGUCUGUGGCUGAGAAGUAGUGCACUAUCAGGUCUAUAAAAUCUCUGGUAAAAUAAAAAAAAACUCUUAUUAUUUCUAUUUUUUAGAUAGUUUUAGGAUGCUUGAGAGUCAUGUUUUAAUUCCCCCAUCCCUGCAGUGAGAUGUUAUGUUGCUUUCUGGAAAACCUUUGGGAGUCAUCAGUUAUCCUCUUCCACGGUUAAAUAAUCGACGUCCUUUGCUGUCGGCUGGAGCAGGGGGUGCUGUCCUGUGACUCAUGUGUUCUCAUUCACAGCAUGUUGAGCAAUGCACUUGGUGCUAGUGCCUAAUAAAGCAUGCUGAGGAUGUUGUCACUGAGCUCGAAUUUUCCUCAGUGGGGCUAGAUUUCUGUCACCACACAUUUUUCUUCUUGCUACACUCUGAGACACUUCUCAAUGAAACAUUUGUCCUUUUUUCCUUUAUUAUGUCUAGAACGGUGUCUUCUCUAACUUAGUAUUGCAUUUUGCUGUCGGGUAUUUAUCUCUGAUUCUGAAUUGUAUUUUUAGUGUUGCUUGUGUUCUUUCCUUUUCCUUUUUCCCCAACAAAGAACUUCUUGGAAGGUCUUCCAUCCCUGUCUCCCUCCAGACUGCCUUAGGGAAGCCAGAAGCCAUGCACAGUGAGACUUAUGAUGCGGACGUUGGCUCUGAUGAGAGGCCAAUACCACAGCCCUCAGAAGGGCAAAGGCUCAGCUCCCUGGAUAGACCACUCCUUAUUCCCACCACACUAAUUAAUUGUCAUCUCAGAAGGCAAUGAGACCAAUUGUUCUGGCAUUGCCCUGGCCAAGCCAACUCUGGAAGAGGCAGUGAGCUGCCAGCUUUUCUGCUGUUGGCCAGGAAUCUGUAUCCCAGCAGUCUGUCAGGGAAAACAGGCCAAUUUGGGGUUUGAAUUGCUGCCUCAGAGAUGCCAGCAAUGGGGUUGCUUGUUAAGAGAGUUGCACCCUAAGACUCUAGUGAAAUAGCUUGAAGAUCUGUGAGAGUGGUUUGAAUUCCGACAUGUGAAAGUAUGUGCUUUGCUUGUGAAGUGGAAAUUGCCCUAUUCAAGUGGGCUUAUGAGUCCCCUUUGUCACUUAGCUUGUCACUGAACUUAAAAUCUUUGUUCUUUACUUUCAACUUUACUGAGGGGGAAGAAUUUGGUGUUAAUAGAUGUGAAAGCUCUGUAGAAGAUGUUACUGGACACAUCAGAGAAAGAACUGUGAUUUUUAGACUCUUGGCAGUGGCUUCACAGUGGCCCCAAGGAGACAGGGGUAGGUGGGACUGUUCUCAUUGAUCGUGAUAGAGACAGUGAAGCAGAAAACCACUUAUGUGAUUUGUCUGAGGUCCUACCUAGCUGGCUGAAAUCCAGAGCAUCCAACACGACUACAUCACCUAACAUCUAAAAUGACAUUGCCUUGAAGGGAGAGAAACUGAAAUGGACAGAUACUUAAGUGCAGGUCUGCUGCUACCAUAGAGUGCCUUUGUGCAAAUGGAAAAGGCAUCUCUAGGCCCCAUGGGCAGGCAGAUUACACAAAGGUGCUUCUUAGUGACUAACCAAGGCACACAGCUUGGUGAGCAGAAUGCUGACUGGUUCCAGGCCCCAGGUUGAUCUCCACCACAUGUCCCUUUGCACAAGGCCCAAAAUGCACAACCACAUAGGGAGGCCCUGCAUAGACGUUUGCCUUGACAGUGGACUAGUUCAUAGAUAUUUGUAGCCAGUUGACCAAAUCCUUAUUUUACCUCCCCACUUUUCAUUCCCAAGGUAAAAAAUAAAGUUCAUCUAUUAAAAAACUAAUUGUAUGUGCCCCACCUUAACAGUAUUCUUAAGGAGCUCUAUUUUUUUAACCACUUUUCUCUCCCUGUAAAUUAUACUACCCACCCUUCCUUUUUGAUAUCUGCUGUAGCAAAUUGUAAGGCAGCACUCUGCCCACAGGACGUGGUCUUUAAAGGAGUCAUUUCCUCUUCCAUCUCCUCCAGGCCAUUCCCAUCGUGUUUUUCGUGGCACUGGCAACAGGAAGGCACACUGAAUAGCAGUGCUGAAAAGGCACUUUGUUGUUUAUGUUAUUACUGUGGGUUUGUCUCUGCCUAAUAAUUAGCGUUUCCGGCUUUCUGAAUUUAUUUGCCAAAAUAUUUGCAGGACUUUCGUGAACAAAUAAGGGAUGUGUUUCUUGACAUAACUGACCACUGCCUUGCAAGGCUGAGCGAGAGAUGUUUCUAGACAUAAUAGACCACUGCCUUGCAAGGCUGAGCAAACUUCUGGCUGUCGGAGUUUUUUUAGAUGGAUUUGCUCAGGGAAAGAUUAUCCUAGUAAGGCAAACACCUUCUAAAUCACUAAUCUGGCAUUGAUGCUAUCUCAGCGACCACAGUUCAGGAAGUUCGAAGUAUUCCAGUGUUCCUUUCAGGACAGGGUAGGUCAUUACUGAGGGGUGGCGAGUUCUUGGGUCCCAGGGGCAAAAGUCUAGUCCUGUCUGAGUUCCCUCCCAGUGAAGUUCGUGAGCCUCAGCUUCCUCAUCUGUAAUGUGAGAUAAUCAUAUUUGUCUUGUCUGGCUCAUAGAAUUGUAGUUGAGGGUUAAAUGAAAGAAAAUAUAUGUAGAAGUGCUUUGCUAACUCUAAAACAUUACAAAAAUGUUAUUUAUAUUAGACUCUAAGGAUACUGUUCUCUGAGGGAGGAUUAACCAAGGAGAGAGCCUUGUUCACUAUAUUUAGUUCGGCCAUCUCCCUGGCCCCUUCCCGACCUACCUUACCCAUCUAACUGGUUCCUUCUCUGUGUUGUUCUUUUGAAGAGGUCUUCUUGGCCUACCAGGAUUGCCCACGUUUCUUUGGACCCAUUGCACACCCAUAAGGACCACCCCCUUCAUUCUUUUUUCCUAUCAUAAUCAGCCUCUCCUAACCAGCUUGUUUUUCUAGCUGGGCAACAAUAACUCAAAUCCCUGCAAGUGUGCAGGUGAAUGGAGCAGGCAGGGUGAGGAAUUGAUGGCAUUGAAGCAGGCGGAAAGCGCUUGCCCCUCCCAAGGGGCAGCCACAGCUUGGCUGCAGCCAGCUGUUACCUUGUGGAAUUGAGGGCCCUGACUUGCCACACAUCUCCUGAUUUUUCAAGAGAAGGCAGAAAUCAGGAUUUUUAAGGGAAAUUUCCUCAUUUUUAAUGUUGGAAGCUAUUUCAAUGUUUUUUAAAUUAUAUUACGCAAAUCAACAGACCGUGGCCAAACAGCACGUUUGUGAACUGUGUUUUGCCCACAGACGGCUGGUUUGUGACCAUCUUCAGGUCUUUGAGCACAAGUGUGCCUCGUUUCCUCAAGGAUAAUACACAUGAAUGCAGUGCUCAGCUAGAGCAUCGCCUCCUGGCCUACCUCUGACUCUCUCUAGUUUCACUUGGUCACAUUUCUCUUUGAUCUGCUGUGACAUGACUCCCACUUUAAGCAACAACUCUUUCUUUAGUUGACGGUGACAUUUUUUUAGGACCCUCUUAUCUAUACUAGUCUUGGCCUUUCUGCCCUCAGGGUCCCUAUGCUAGACCCUCCAAGAUACCACCCUUUCUUCAAGCCGAGUGAUGAUUGCCCAUGUCAGUCACUUUCCAUCUGUUGCAGAUUGUUUAUACUGUGUAAAGUUUUACAGUAAGUGUCUUUGCUGCUUUCAGUGUUUCUGGAUGAGGUGGUCGUCUUUCUGAUUAUAAAGAGAUGGUUGUGAGAUGCUGAGGAAGGAUAGAUACAAGCCUUAUAGUGAACUUGGAAUUGUGUUCUUUAUGUGCUUAUGGAAUUGUGUUCUUUAAAGUAACUUUGGGGGUUCAUAUGAGAAUAUAACCCUGCUCAGAAGAAAUUACUUUUAAAAUAAUAUCCACAAAGGAACUGGUUAGAUUUUCUCAUGUGUUCUGCAGAUAUUUACCAAUGUAACCUACAUUUUUUCUUGAUGCCAGAUAGAUUGUAAGGAAUUUGCAUUAUUCCAUCUCAAGUGUAUAAUGAAAUAAUACACUGAAGCAAUUCACCACCAAGAGUUUUGUUUAAAAAAGGAAGUUCCAGCUCCAACUUAGGUUCAACAAUUGCUUCUGACACUUGCCAGUGGCUCAUUGUAAGAAACAAACAAUAAACAUUACCAGUGGAGAGAGAAAUGUAAUACCAUUUUAGAUUUUCUGACAAGAAGUAGUGCCAAGGACCCCUGCAAAAAUGGUUUGUUUUUAAAAUCUCCAGUUCUUUGAGUUAUAUUUCCAACGAGUUACAGUAUUGAAAUGCUUUAAAAAAAAACUAAUUUCAUGUUAGAGUAGUACUUUGCAGUUUAGAAACUUUCAUAUAUAGUAUUUAACUUCAUCCCCAUAGUUUUGUAAUAA